RNAcentral lists this long non-coding RNA (148 nucleotides) under Ictidomys tridecemlineatus (thirteen-lined ground squirrel). RNAcentral describes it as "lncRNA (ENSSTOG00000032042.1)". Lineage: Eukaryota; Metazoa; Chordata; Mammalia; Rodentia; Sciuridae. The record is from RNAcentral.
GGUGAAACUCACCCUGUGGGCCCAGGACAGUCUGGACUGACAAGGAAAACUCUAGGUCGUAACCUUUUUUGGUUGAUGCUAAGGCGAAGGUGAAGAAGGCUCUCCUCAAAUGACUCGUCUCACGCACCUCAGUCUUCCUUCCCCUGGA